This 253-nucleotide ribosomal RNA is filed under the name uncultured bacterium. Its description in RNAcentral is "partial 16S ribosomal RNA". It matches the Rfam family "Bacterial small subunit ribosomal RNA", at positions 524 to 776 of the family's 1533-position model. The record is from RNAcentral.
UACGGAGGGUGCGAGCGUUGUCCGGAAUCACUGGGCGUAAAGGGCGCGUAGGCGGCCUGAUAAGUAGGGGGUGAAAUCCUGCGGCUUAACCGCAGGGCUGCCUUCUAAACUGUCAGGCUUGAGCACAGUAGAGGCAGGUGGAAUUCCCGGUGUAGCGGUGGAAUGCGUAGAGAUCGGGAGGAACACCAAUAGCGAAGGCAGCUCGCUGGGACGUUACUGACACUGAGGCGCGAAAGCGUGGGGAGCGAACAGG